This 399-nucleotide ribosomal RNA is filed under the name uncultured bacterium. Its description in RNAcentral is "bacterial SSU rRNA". It matches the Rfam family "Bacterial small subunit ribosomal RNA", at positions 30 to 430 of the family's 1533-position model. The record is from RNAcentral.
AUUGAACGCUGGCGGCAUGCCUUACACAUGCAAGUCGAACGGCAGCACGGGAGCAAUCCUGGUGGCGAGUGGCGAACGGGUGAGUAAUAUAUCGGAACGUGCCCAGUCGUGGGGAUAACGUAGCGAAAGCUACGCUAAUACCGCGUACGAUCUAUGGAUGAAAGCGGGGGAUCGCAAGACCUCGCGCGAUUGGAGCGGCCGAUAUCAGAUUAGGUAGUUGGUGAGGUAAAGGCUCACCAAGCCGACGAUCUGUAGCUGGUCUGAGAGGACGACCAGCCACACUGGGACUGAGACACGGCCCAGACUCCUACGGGAGGCAGCAGUGGGGAAUUUUGGACAAUGGGCGCAAGCCUGAUCCAGCAAUGCCGCGUGCAGGAUGAAGGCCUUCGGUUGGUAAAC